CAGGUUAUAUUAAUAAAGGAGAAGGAGGGGUUUUGUUGUUGGUUGUUAAGUUUGUUGGUUGGUCUUAAUGUUUAGAGGGAGAAGAUCCCAAGAUAUUUCCUGCUGGAACUUAAUCCUGGUCCAAGGUGGGCUAUAUGGCAAGAUGUCACAAUCCUAGAAGAGAGAAAUCUUCCUCAACUGGAAGAGACCAAUGAAAACCUUCAAGAAAAAGACAAUGACAUGCCAAAGUCAACUUCUAGUAGUCAACACCAACUGCUGAGUCAGCGAAAGGAGAUGCUUCAGCAGUAUAAAAAGCAAAAGCAGCUUCAAAAAAUGAAAGAGCGGCGAGAGAGAGCCAAACGAGGGAUAUUUAAAGUGGGGCUUUACAGACCUGACCCACCAAAAUUUCUUAGUUCUCUUCCAGAACAGAAGAUGGGGAAACCUGAAGCAAAGAAGGAAUCUUAAAUGAGACUAUACAAUUAAAUAUCUGUUUUCAGAAGAUACCAAGCUCUGCUAGAUGUUGAAAUACCAAUCUUCGGGGCAUAAACCACAAGAAGACUUCACAAAGCUAUGAAAAGGGCAGAAAAAUAUCAGAUUAGCUUUUGUGUAAUUAGAAUUUGUUCCUUGGAACUCUCUUACCCAGCAUCCCAUUUAUGUGCUCACACUGAAUGUGAAAACUGUAUGUGUAGGUAGGGAAGAUAUACUUUGAUGUAACCCCACCUCUUGUUCUCUUCUUCCCAGAAUGUGGCUGUGGAGGCUGGAGGGAGAGGAAAGUUUACUCAUAUGGUCAUUCUUAAGCUUUGUACGUCUAUUUUUUAUUUCUUCUACUUGAAGUGAUCACUAA
Long non-coding RNA from Monodelphis domestica (gray short-tailed opossum), 823 nucleotides. RefSeq lists it as uncharacterized. The record is from RefSeq and is a predicted model, not a curated record. Lineage: Eukaryota; Metazoa; Chordata; Mammalia; Didelphimorphia; Didelphidae.